Non-coding RNA from Chrysemys picta bellii (western painted turtle), 1938 nucleotides. NCBI's taxonomy places the organism in Eukaryota, Metazoa, Chordata, Testudines, Emydidae. The record is from RefSeq and is a predicted model, not a curated record.
CUCCACCCAUGGGGCCCCUCAGCCCUUCUCUCUUCUUCCUCCCCAACACGAACCCUCCUUAGGAGACGGUCAGGCAUGCGAGGUGUGCAUCCCCACAGGCCAGGUCUUGGGAGCCAUGGAGAAGUAGGAGCGGAUGAAUACCGUGUGGGGCAGUGGGCGCCAAAGUGGAGCUGUGUUUACUCGAUCUCUGUUAAUCGAGUGGGGCUGAUGUAGAUGGGACUGGAGAGAGAGGCAGUGAUGAGGGCAAGAUUCGUCGCACCAAUAGAGCUCUCUGUAGUGAUAGUUCUUGCUUGGCUUUAUUAGUUUGCAGAGAAAUGAUCCAGGAGCCCUAGCCGGACAAGAAUAUGGCGGAAGUCGACCUGAGCGGCCUGGACAUCCUUCUAAGGAGACAUGAAUACUCCUCAUAUAUCUGCCUUCUGCAUCGCUGGCUGUGAGUAGGAGUACCAAAGAAAACAAAGUCAUGCGUCAGUCUACUGUCCUCAUGGGUUGGAAAGAGAGCGAGAGCAUCGAGACUCUGAGCAUUGUUGAUGUCACGCAAAAGCCAUCCAUCUGGGAGCUGAGGAGACUCCGCUGUCAGUGAGAUAAGUGUCUUGUUUCAUGAGGGCUCUGCUCACGCCCAACCUGAGUCCAGGUAGGAAAGGCCAGUACGGUAGGGCUGGGCUUUUAUGAAAAGGUUCCUGACUAGCUGUGGUUACGAGGGACAAAAAGUCUCUAUUUUGAGAGGUUGCUCACUUCUCUGGUCAGGAACGGUGUCUCCUCCGCAGCACAAGGUUGCAUCCAGGAGGAUGAUUCCAGGUGGUGAGUGCUUGCUUUCCUCCAAUGUUUUCCUUUCUCUCUCUCUCUCUUCUCUAGUACAUUGGCCAACACGCACCCUCUAGCUCCCUCUGUCUGUCCUUGCCUUUCCUCGUGUUGUCUCCCUUCGUAAGACAUGGGCAGGCGUGCUACGUGUGCAUCCCCACAGGCUUUCUCUCGGGAGCCAUGGAGAAGUAGGAGGGGACGAAAAUCAUGCAGGGCAGUGGGUGCGAGAGUGGAGCGGUGACUGCUGGUGUUAACUCGGUCUCUGUUCAUCGAGUGGGGCUGAUGUAGAUGGGAUUGGAGAGGGAGGGCAAGAUUUGAAACAACAAAUAGAGCUUUAAGUAGUGAUGGCUCAUGCUUGGCUUUUGCAGCUUCGCUUCCAGAGGAAUUUUCCAAGAGCCCUAGCCCGAGGAGAAAGUGGCAGAAGUGGACAUGAGCAGACUGGACAUCCUUGUCAGCAGAUAUGAACAGUUUUCAGCUUUCUGACUCCCGCAUAACUGGCUUUUGCAGAGGAAUCAUCCAGGAGCCCUAGCUGGACGAGAAUAUGGCGGAAGUGGACCUGAGCUGCCUGGACAUCCUUCUAACGAGACAUGAAUAGUCCUCCUGUUUCUGCCUUCUGCAUCGCUGGCUGUGAGUAAGAGGUUUAGUACCAAGGAAAACGAAGUCACACGUCAGUCUAUUGUCCUCAUGCGAUGGAAAGCGAGCCAGAGCGUCGAGACUCUGAGCAUUGUUGAUGCCACGCAAAAGACGUCCAUCUGGGAGCCGAGGAGACGCCGCUGUCAGUGAGAUAAGUGUCUGGUUUGGUGAGGGCUCUGCUCACGCCCAACCUGAGUCCAGGUUGGGAAGCCCACUAAGUUAGGGCUGGGUUUGUAUGAAAAGGUUCCUGACUAGCUGUCAUUACGAGAGGGAAAAGGUCCCUAUUUUCAGAGGUUGCUCAUUUCUCUGGUCAGGAACGGUGUCUCCUCCGCAGCGGAAGGUUGGAUUCAGGAGGAUGACUCCAGGUGGUCAGUUGCUUGCUGUCCUCCCAUUUUUCUCUCUCUCUCUCCUCUUGUGUGUUGGCCAACUUUCUCACUCUUUCCUCUCCUGUUCUCGUGCCGUCUCCCUUCGUAGGAGACGGGCAGGCUUGCUCGGUGUGCAUCCCCG